AAAUGGACUCUGCAGCAACG
This 20-nucleotide ribosomal RNA is filed under the name Frullania parhamii. RNAcentral's name for it is "partial 5.8S ribosomal RNA". The record is from RNAcentral. Lineage: Eukaryota; Viridiplantae; Streptophyta; Jungermanniopsida; Porellales; Frullaniaceae.